This 497-nucleotide ribosomal RNA is filed under the name uncultured bacterium. Its description in RNAcentral is "partial 16S ribosomal RNA". It matches the Rfam family "Bacterial small subunit ribosomal RNA", at positions 28 to 507 of the family's 1533-position model. The record is from RNAcentral.
GAUGAACGCUGGCGGCGUGCCUAAUACAUGCAAGUCGAACGAACCGCCGCUAAGUUUUUUUCUUUGGUCUUAGCGGCUGGCGAAUGGGUGACACAUGCAUAACUUACCUAUCUCAUUGUGGUAACUACGAGACAGCGGCGCUUACUACUGCUGAUUUUUUGAUCCGCAUGGUUCAUCAGUUAAAGACGGUCUUCCUGUCCCAUCUCUAUGAAUUCGCCCUGCAUUAGCUAGUUGGUAAGGUAACGGCUUACCAAGGCAACGAUGCAUAGCCGACCUGAGAGGGUGAUCGGCCACAUUGGAACUGAGACACGGUCCAAACUCCUACGGGAGGCAGCAGUAGGGAAUCUUCCGCAAUGGGCGAAAGUCUGACGGAGCAACGCCGCGUGAGUGAAGAGGGUCUUCGGAUCGUAAAACUCUGUUGUUAGGGAAGAACAGAGGAGAGAGUAACUGCGAAGAGUGUGACGGUAUCUAAUCAGAAAGCCACGGCUAACUACGUG